Molecule: ribosomal RNA, 603 nt
Filed under: uncultured fungus
Lineage: Eukaryota; Fungi
Description: eukaryotic LSU rRNA
Rfam family: Eukaryotic large subunit ribosomal RNA
Source: RNAcentral
ACCCGCUGAACUUAAGCAUAUCAAUAAGCGGAGGAAAAGAAACCAACAGGGAUUGCCCUAGUAACGGCGAGUGAAGCGGCAACAGCUCAAAUUUGAAAUCUGGCUCUUUUAGGGUCCGAGUUGUAAUUUGCAGAGGGCGCUUUGGCGUUGGCAGCGGUCCAAGUUCUUUGGAACAGGACGUCACAGAGGGUGAGAAUCCCGUACGUGGUCGCUAUCCAUCGCCGUGUAAAGCCCCUUCGACGAGUCGAGUUGUUUGGGAAUGCAGCUCUAAAUGGGAGGUAAAUUUCUUCUAAAGCUAAAUACUGGCCAGAGACCGAUAGCGCACAAGUAGAGUGAUCGAAAGAUGAAAAGCACUUUGGAAAGAGAGUCAAAUAGCACGUGAAAUUGUUGAAAGGGAAGCGCUUGCAGCCAGACUUGCCUGUAGUUGCUUAUCCGGACUUUUGUCCGGUGCACUCUUCUGCGGGCAGGCCAGCAUCAGUUUGGGCGGUUAGAUAAAGGUCUCUGUCAUGUACCUCCCUUCGGGGAGGCCUUAUAGGGGAGACGACAUGUAACCAGCCCAGACUGAGGUCCGCGCAUCUGCUAGGAUGCUGGCGUAAUGGCUGU